UGAGCUUGGUGUCUCCGCUUGAAAUCGCGCAGAAACUCCAACCCACCCCUAGUGAAAUGUCGAACAUUUCCUUUUUGCCUGGAGACUCGUACUUGCUGUUUUUAAUAUUAUCUUAUUAUUAUUAUUGUGGACCGUGGUGGUUAUCUGCCAGACUAUGUCAGCUUUUUGGGAGAUUUAUACUCGAUGAAUUUUGGUCAGAUAUAUAUAUUACCUCCUGGCUUGCUUUGGUGCUUUGUUUGACCUUUUAAUAUGCACAUUUCAUUUGUUUGCUUGGGGUAUCCAACUUAGCUGAACAGCAGUGAGAAGCACUUAAAAGUGUUUGAACCCACCCCUGGAAUUUUGCAGUUAAUGCAAUGGGAAAAUCAUUAUACUGAAUAUUGUUGGCCCCAACUAUGUGCUCGGCUGGGCCAUGAGCUGUUGCAGCAUGGCUCAUGUUGCGAAACCUUUGCAAAGGCUCAUGUUGCAAUGCUCAGCUAGAACACCCUCUCGCACAGCAUAGCUGGUCGUGCAGCCCGCUACUUUGAUGGAUGCUGCUCAGUGUUGGCCUCCCAAAACAUGGGGUUAUGACAUUGGCAGUGGUGGCUUGCAGUGCAGUGCUCGUCUCCAAUUGACCGUGCUGCUCGGAGGAGGUUCCAACACCGGUGGUGUUGUGGCGCGUAUUACAGUUAUUUUGAAGUUAUUCUAAUCUCGUACAUACACAAAUUUACAAUUAUUCAUCUACUACUGGAAUUUGGAUUUAUUUUAUUGAUGCAAAUUGGAUUUGGAUAGAAGGGUACAUUCUUUCUAAUACUAGUAAGCGUGCACUUGCAACGCACAUAUCGUUAAGAAGUUAUUGUUCGAUCUAUCUAACAUCUCCUAAACGGGUAAAAGCAUCUACAAUUUGACUAGGAAAAUAUGACCCACCCCCGUAUGUCAGGUGACACAUCCGAACGUCACAUGCAUACUAUUGGUUGGGAUGGAGAGAGAGAAUAAAGAAAGAAAAAAUUGGUCUAAGAUGAGCCGCGUCCAAUGUAGUAGCCUCAUUUGUUCCCCAUAUAUGAAAUGAUUUUGAGGGCCAGCCAGCCUUUUUCUACUCUCCUGGGUCCUGGCAAGGGGCACAAAGUGCAGGAGGGGCUGGGCCUUAGAUGCUCUAAGUGCGACGGUUUGCUCCCCGCAUCCUCCGACACCACCCCGGAAUAAUACGCCCUCGUCUCUUCCGACCUUGCUCACGCUCCAGUGAACCGAAAAGUUAUAAACAACAUGCCAUUCCUGGAAUAUGUUAUCUUUCGAUGGAAGCAACAAUCUAUUGAUCAUCAUUAAAAGAGUGUAUGAUGUUAGUUACAAACAGCUAACUAACAAGAUCAGGGUAUUCACCCAAAUUCUUACCAACACAGUUAGUUCAUGCACAAAUUUAUUGCUCUCUUUCCCUCACACACAACUUCAUUUAAAAUAAAAUGAGGUAACCAAGUCUUCAGAUGGUUAAUCUCUUUGUAGACGUUCCCGAUGUGCCAUAUUCAGAACGUCUUGGCCUAUAUGAAUUACCUUUUACCAACAACUUCAAAACCACAAUUAUCUAAUUUGAAACCACAAUUCCCAUGUUUAGGCCCUGUUUGUUUGGGCUUUUACUUUUGCUUUUGCAACUUUUCCACUUUGGCAAAAAAAAAAACUCCUAAAUAGGUAGGUGCUUUUUGCUUCGCCUUUUGGCUUAUACCACCAUAUAACGAUAUUGAUUCAUAAGCACAAAACCGAAGCAAAUAGCCCCUAUUUAGGAGCUUUCAUGGCUUUUUUUUUUGCCAAAGUAGAAAAGCUGCAAAAGCAGAAGCAAAGGCCCAAACAAACAGGGCCUUAGUCUUUUCAAGCAGUAUAAUGAUACUUGCUGCCAAGUGAAACAUACAAAUAGCUAAGAAAUAUCAAGAUGUCCCACGAGAUUACUAAUAAUAGAGAGUUUGUUUGCAUAUAGAUCACUGGAUUUCUGCUAACAAAUAAUGGCUGAAACUUUACUUUAAAAUGCAAUGCUUGAAUGUAGCAAAAACUCGUUUCCUUCUUUUCCGAGAACAUACAAGAGAACUGUGUGUAUAAAUAUAUUAAGAAGAGAAUAGUACAUCAACAUAAUGAAGGCCGACAAUAGCAACGACGCCACUAAGUUUAAACAACUGUGAAACAAAAGGAAGACAAGACCUGAAACUACACAUUGUUUUCUCUUCAGCAAAAUAUUUUCUAUGGAAAAAUCGAGCUAUAACUUAUAGGUAGCACAACAUAACUUUCCAUAUAUUUCAAGUUUGGUCAGACCACAACAAGAGAGCAAUCAGUCUGAGACUGAUACUUGGGUAGAGGCACUCCAGGAGUGCCAUAAACUAACUUCAAUAUGCUCCUUCUCUCUUACCAACACAAGGUUUAAGCUCAACUCACCCCAAAGAGAAAAGUGAACUAUAAACUUUAGGCUAAAAUAUACAUGCAAAUGUUAAUCAUAUAAACUGGAAUUAUGUGCACUGUGAGCAGAAAACUUCAUAUGGAGGCUGGCCUUAUGUUUCUAUAGAGAAGAGACACGUAAAAAAAAGAUACAUCAGCAUGCAUCACGUUUUUGUUGACAAAAAAUUCAGAUGAACAAAGUCGAACACUGAUAUUACUAUCAUUUUUAAACUUUCACCAUUAGUUAUGCAAAUCAAGUGUGUGUCUGUUAUUUUCCACCAAGAGCAUUACAAGCAUCACAAAUUCGACAAGCAUGGGCUGAAGUGUUAUAACUGGAAGUAAAAAAUAAUAAUGGUUCUAACUGUAUAUGAUUAAUUAGAGUAAACAGAAACGCUAACAGAAACAACGAUUGACCUUGAUUAAUUAGAGUAAACAGAAACGCUAACAGAAGAAGCAGGUGUACUGGAACAUGAAGACCAUGAUUCUAACUGUCUGAUCCAACUGAUCCAGCACUAUGCGCUCCAUCUCGAUGUAGGACAUAUUUGUUCUCCUUGGUGGUCAACUUCAAAUACGCCCAUGAUGCUGUACACGUAGAUGUUCCCUGCAUCCCUCUUCUCAGCUCUCAGAACCUGCCAACAGUCGCCUAGAAAAUAAAAAACAUAAAAAGUUAAUUAUUUAUGUAUAUUAGCAAUUUGGGAUGGAUUUGCGUUGUCCAUCCUGUAAUAUUUUGUAGUAUCCAAAUACUUUGCCUGCUCUUUGGUGAAGCACAGAGCCACUACAUUAAAUAGUUUAUGUGUUGUUAUUUCAGAGAAUGUAUUAUAUAAUGCAACUGUUAGGUUGAUCUCUCUCCCGUUCGAACCCAACGGGUCGAACGGGCCCCUGACUCGCGCCCUGAUCGGGGGCACCCAACCAAACCAUGGUUGGUGGGCCCCUGUAACCCGCGCUAUAUAAACAGAGGUGGGGGCCGGGGCACGACUUACGAGGUUAAUCGCUGCCACAAUCCCCACCUACAAUCCCUACCGAUCUAGGGUUAGCGCGGUGCUCACGGGAAGCUCCACCACCGCCGCCGUCCACUCUCUGUCCACAUCGUCACCGGCCCCUACUUCACCAUGGCCGGCACUGGAUCGAGCUCGUCUGGACAGGUAGAAGGUAGGUUCACCGGAAUGAUCUAACCUAUCCGAUCCAAAGCAAUCUAUCAAUGGUAUCAGGCCAUGCUAGGCUAUGAUUUUCGGUGCAAAGUAUAAACAAAGAAAGAAAAAGGAUCCCUUCCCCAAGAACCCUAAACAGGGCAAAGAAAAAUCCCUCAACGGACAAAGAAGCGCCGCCGCAAGCCGCGCCUGUUCCUCUCGAUCCGGACGCGCAUCGGCACGCCGGGGCGUCGGACGAAGAACUACCGGAGCCAGCUCAACGGCGUGCCGGCAACGAAAAGAAAAAGACAAAAAAAGGGGGGUAGGCACCGCAGCCAAACCGCUCGACGGCGGCGCGCUCACCGCAAGGCGGACGCGCAGCCGGCGAAGGGGAUGGCCACGACGCUGCAUCGAAACCCGCAGCAUCUCUCUCUCUCUCUCUCUCUCUCUGUUGCUGCAUGCAGUAGUAGAGCAGAGGAGUAGAAGGGAGGAAAGGGGGGGAGGGAGAAGAGCUGGCCAGGGAACGGCGGAGCUCAACCCCGUCUCCGGCUGCCGGCGACCGGCGUCAAACGCAACGGCGCAGUCGGGAGCGAGAGAAGGGGAGCAGAGGUGGCCGCGAGCGUCCCCCCUCUCUCUCUCUCUCAAAGGAGAGGCCGGGGGGAAGAGAUGCGGCCAGGCUCGCGCGGUGGUGGGCGCCAUCGCCAGCGGCUCGACCGGACCGGCGCGGCGCGGUCGCCCGACGACCGGGACAACGACGGAUCGAGAGAGGCUGAGCGGCGCGCGAGGAGAAAGGGGGGCGAACGGACUGGGUUUCGUUCCGAUCGCUGCGGUGGGUCGGUUUUGUUCGAGCGAGAAGGACGCUGCGCCGUCCGAUCGAGCUGAACGGCCCUGAUUGAAAACCUAACCCCGCUCCGGGCCUUCUGGGCCGAAAGUGGAGGCCUCGGCGGCCGGGCCGCGCUGGACCGAGGCCGGCUGUGCGGCUGAGCCGCGUCCUAUACCGAGGCGCUCGGGCGGCCGAGCGGUGCUCGCCCAGCAGGCUAGUGGGCCGCGGGCCGCGCAGUUAAGGCUGCGAGCGGCGCGUGCGUUUGCAGGCCGUGGGACGGGCUGUGCUAGCAAAGAGGCCCGACAGCGUUCCUUUUAUUCAUUUUCCAACGAAAUUUUUUGUUUAGUAAAUAGCAAAGUAAACAGAAAAAGUUUCUGAGAAUGAAAAUUUUCAGAAAAGGAAAUGUUCAUGAAUUUUAUAAAGAAAAUAAUAAAGUUCAUGAAUUUUCUAUUUUGUCAAAGAAAAGUUUCUGUAAAGAAUUAAAAGUUCAUGAAUUUUUAUUCAUGUUUUUCCGCUGCGUAAAUAAUUAAUAGUGCUCUUUUACAAAGAAAAUAGAAGUUUAGACAGAAUUAAAUUUUUAAGAGCCUGCUAAAGUGAUGAAUAUGAUUAUGUUAUUUUUUAUGACCAACGUUGUUAAUAACAUGAUCAUGUUUUAUUAUUGAAAAUAAAAGUGCUCUUUUAAAAGUGAAAAGAACUAAAGUAAAAGAUUAAAUUGUUGCUUCUCUAAUGCUUUUUUGAACCAAUUGGUUAAAAUUGCUUAGAGAGUAAAAGAGUACAGAAUUGUUUUUGAAUAGAAUAUUGUAAAGUUUCCGUUGCAAAGUAAAAGUUUUAUCCUCCAAUUAAAUUGGAACCAACGGGAAAAUUUAAUUGGAAGAAAUGUUCUUAGCAAUGUUUUUUCCCCUGUGGGUGAAAUAAGAUGCAGAUAGUUUCCGCUAUGACAAAAAGAAGAUAUUUGUUUUAAAGGUAAAACAUGGUAUUGUUAUUUUCUGACCAACGUUGAUGAUAACAGUGCUAUAAUUCAAUGAGUCUUAUGUUCAAAGUUUAAAUAUUUGAUAAAUUUUGUAUCAAAGUGAUCAAUUUUUAGAGAACGGAUAAAGAUCAAGAAAUGAUCUUGAACUAGAGAAAUGUAUAUUUCUUGUUCCCGCUGCAAUAAAGUAGAUUCUUAGCAAAGUUGUUUAAUACAAAUACUAUCAUCACAUUGUUUAUGAGUUAUAUGCAUUAUUUCCAUUUCCGCCCAACGGUGAUAUGGAAUUAAUGUAGAAGGAUGAUCUUUAUUCUAAUUCUGCCACAACGGUGAUUUAGAAUAUAGAAUAAAGUUUCAAAAGUUUAAUGUGCAUUUUUUUAACCAGACCAACGUAGGGUUAUUUUUAUGCCCAUUAUUGUUGAUUAUUGUCUAAGUUUUCUUAGACUAAAAGUUUUCCAUGCUUUCAUUCGUGAAAGCGAAUGGCUGCGUACUUGUGACCCGAAAGAUGACCAAGAAAGGUCAUAACGUGAGGGAGUAUGUUCUCUCUAAAGAAUGGCAUCAAAAGAAAAGAAAUAGAUCAUUGAGAGUCUUGGUUGAUGAAUGUCUUUCAUGUACUCUCUAUGAAGAAGAUUUUUCAGUCAACAUGAUUUGAGAUGAAACAAGCAACAUGCGUGUUUAAUUUGACCAACGUCGGAUCAAGCAUGUGUGUCAAAGAGCAUUCGGAUUUAUUCCUAAAUUUGAUGAUUGAAUAUGCAGGCAAAAGAGCCAAUUCUGGCAUUUAUGUUCCCUUACAGGGAAUUACCCGCAUGGAGGGAAAAGAUGAUUAUGAUAAAACCUGCAUGGCGGGAAAUGUUUGGGAAAAUACCUGCGUAACGGGGUAAAGCUGACAUAAUAUUAUGUAAAAAAUCCCGUACGGCGGGAGAAAUUCUGGCAAGAGAAAGAUAUGAUAACUCAUGUGCUUUUAAUGUAUCCCACUCUGGGAGAAACGAAUGGAGUAACUGAAAGGCGCAACUGUACACUUAUGGAUAUGGUGCGCAACAUGAUGAGUUCUUCCAACUUGCCAUUGGGAUUAUAGAUGGAGGCGCUUAAAACCGCCAUUCGCAUUCUCAAUAGAGUACCAAGCAAGUCGGUGCCCAAAACACCGUACGAGCUAUGGACAGGAAGGGUGCCCUCCCUACAACACUUCAGGGUGUGGGGAUGCCCUGCUGAGGCCAAAAUGUUUAAUCCAAACAUUGCAAAGUUAGAUCCCAAAACAGUGAGUUGCCACUUCAUUGGCUAUCCAGACAGAUCAAAGGUUUUCGUUUCUACUGCCCAGACAGAUAUACAAAGUUUGUAGAAACGAGACAUGCAGUCUUCUUAGAAGACGAAAUGAUGAGGGGGGGCUUGGUAGCUCGGAAAAUUGAUCUUGAGGAGAAGAGGGUGCAUGCACCUAAUCCGAUGAUUCAGGAGCCAUUUUUCUCACUACCAGUUGCAACUCCACCCAUGACAGCUAUGGGGGAAGACCCGGAACCAGUCCGUCAGGAGCCGACUGAACCCGAUGUUGACCAUGAAAGGGAGGUGCAACAGCAAAUUUUAGAAGAAGUGCCAGAAGUUGAGGCACAAAAUGUGCCAGAAACUGAGGCCCUUAGAAGGUCUACAAGAUCAAGAAAGUCAGCUAUUUCUACUGACUUUAAAGUUUAUAAUACAGAAAUGGUUCAUAUGGAAAAAGAUCCCACCUCAUAUGAAGAAGCCAUGAGAAGCCCUCAUUCAUCGAAGUGGAUGAAGGCAAUGGAAGACGAGAUGAAAUCGAUGAGUUCCAAAGAUGUUUGGGACUUAGAGGAAAUUCCCAAAGGAGCCAAAACAGUAGGCUGUAAAUGGGUCUAUAAAAUUAAGUAUGACUCUAAAGGGAAUAUAGAAAAGUAUAAAGCACGACUCAUGGCAAAAGGAUUUACACAAAGAGAAGGGAUAUAUUACAAUGAGACAUUUUCUCCAGUCUCAUGUAAGGAUUCCUUCAGAAUCAUAAUGGCAUUAGUUGCUCAUUUUGAUUUAGAGUUACAUCAAAUGGAUGUUAAGACGGCAUUUAUGAAUGGUGAUUUAAAAGAAAAGGUCUACAUGAAACAACCAAAGGGUUUUAUCAUGGAAGACAAUGAAAAUAUGGGAUGUCGCCUGAAGAAAUCCAUUUAUGGAUUAAGAAAAGCCUCUCGGCAGUGGUAUCUAAAGUUUAAUCAAACGAUUAAAAGUUUUGGAUUUAAAGAAAAUAUUGAGGAUAAUUGCAUUUAUGCAAAGUUUAAAAAUGGGAAAUAUAUUUUCCUAAUCUUGUAUGUGGAUGAUAUCCUGCUUGCUAGUAGUGAUGUUAGUCUACUACAAGAAACAAAGAAAUACUUAUCCUCAAAUUUUGACAUAACAGAUGUUGGUGAAGCAUCAUAUGUUUUGGGCAUAGAAAUUCACCGAGAUAGGAACAAUGGAGUCUUAGGACUAUUUCAGAAAGCAUAUUUAGAAAAGGUUCUUAAAAAGUAUAAUAUGCAUGCGAGUAAAGCCACACCUGCUCCAAUAGUCAAGGGCGAUAGUUUUGGGAAAUUCCAAUGUCCCAAGAACCAGUAUGAGAUCGAUCAAAUGAAAGCAGUACCAUAUGCUUCGGCAGUUGGCAGCUUACAGUAUGCACAAGUGUGCAUUCGCCCUGACUUAGCUCUUAUCACCGGGGUACUCGGUAGAUAUCAAGAGAAUCUAGGCCUAGAGCACUGGAAGAUGGUAAAGAAAGCAUUGCGUUAUGCGCAAGGCACGAAGGACUACAUGCUAAUAUACAGGAGAAGUGAUUCCCUAGAGAUAAAAAUGUAUUCAGACGCAGAUUUUGCGGGGGACAUAUUCACCCUCGCUGGGGGAGCUAUUUCGUGGAAAAACUCCAAACAGUCGAUAGUUGCAUCAUCCACGAUGUAUGCAGAAUUCAUAGCAUGCUUCGAAGCCACGGGGCAGGCGAUAUGGCUAAAGAAAUUUGUACCCGACUUGAAAGUGGUAGAUUGCAUUCACAAACCACUAAAGAUGUACUGUGAUAACCAGCCCGCAGUAUUCUAUGCUCACAACAACAAGUCAAGUAAUGCUGCCAAAACAAUAGAGAUAAGGUAUUAUGUUGUGAAAGAUGAAAUCCAGGAUCAAACUAUAAGUCUCGAGCAUAUAAGGACAAAGGAUAUGCUUGCGGAUCCGCUAACAAAAGGCUUACCACCCAAUGUGUUCAAGGAACACUUAGCCGGCAUGGGUUUAAGGGAAAGCCUUAUGAUUCCUGGAUAGGCCCAAAAGGAACAGAAUUUGUUUCUAAACAUAAAGUAUGUUGUAGCUGUAUGAUUCUAACGGCAAUUAAGCCGUGACGAUGAAACAUGCUCUAUGUACCAAUAUGUGAUGAAACAGAUAAACUAGAAAGUAUAAAGUUAAAAGUAAAGUUGAGAUCAAGGGGGAGAAUGUUAGGUUGAUCUCUCUCCCGUUCGAACCCAACGGGUCGAACGGGCCCUGACUCGCGCCCUGAUUGGGGGCGCCCAACCAAACCAUGGUUGGUGGGCCCCUGUGACCUGCGCUAUAUAAACAGAGGUGGGGGCCGGGGCACGACUUACGAGAUUAAUCGCUGCCACAAUCCCCACCUACAAUCCCUACCGAUCUAGGGUUAGCGCGGUACUCACGGGAAGGUCCACCACCGCCACCGUCCACUCUCUGUCCACAUCGUCACCAGCCCCUACUUCACCAUGGCCGGCACUGGAUCGAGCUCGUCUGGACAGGCAGAAGGUAGGUUCACCGGAAUGAUCUAACCUAUCCGAUCCAAAGCAAUCUAUCACAUUGUAAUAUGAAAAACACUGAGAUCACGGCUUGUGGUUACUAUACUUAGGCCAAAAAAAGUGACUUGUAUAGAAGGAUACUCUCCAACUAUUGCCAUACAAAAAGGUGAAAGUGGGAAAUAUUACUUCACAUCAUCCGUGUAUGCAGGCAAUCAUCAGACAUCAUACGGUUGCAAACUGUCAUGAACUCUUCUCUAAAAAAUAUGAAGGCACCUGCCAAAGAGCCAUGCACCAUGCAAAAAUCAGUAAAUUCAAGAGUAGCACUGCCCAUAACAAAAGCAGAUACAGAUUAGUAAUCAAACUCUCAGGCUGGUUCAGUAUAUACAUAGACCAAACCUGGAUGAUGCAGUGGCAUUUGGUGAGUGGUGACACAGAGGCUGUUGGCAACUCUGAGAUGGAGGGGAUCAGGGAGCAAUUACUCGCAGUCGUCGUCGCCUAUCGGCAUGACCAUCCACGGUCAAUCUUUGAGCAUACGCUCAUCCGUAUCCAGACGUACGUGAGCAACUCCUGGACUCGUGGAAAGAAAUAGCAGCGUAGGUCGCCACCGAGGCGGGCGGAGGAGCAGUCAGAUUGCUGCACGGCGAGGUCGGCGAAGGAAGCGCGGCCGGCGAGGAUCUGGUCGCGAAGCACGGCCAGGUCGGCGAAGGAUGCGCGGCCGGCGAGGAUCUGCUCGCGGCGCACGGCGGCAUCGGCGCGCGUGGUGGCGGAGGUGACCCGGGACUCCUUGUGUGACGCCCGCACCGUCGCCUCCCCCGCCGCCGCCCAUCUCUUCCUUCCACCGAUUGGCUCCGUUCACUCGAGCCAGCAGAGGAGCAGCGGCAGGCGGUGGGGUGGCAAUGGCGAUUUUUUGGGAGAGACUGGAUCGGGAGCCAGGCUCCUGGCGAUCCCGCGGACGGAUGACACGCUGCGAUGGCAGGGUCCUGGGGGUUCCGUCGCGUCGCCUCCCUGCUCUUGCGAUCACGCAGACGGAUGCCACGCAGCUCGCGAUGGCGAUCGUGCGAGGUCGUGCUGUUGGUGAGCGGCGUCAAGGUUAAAGGCGAGGGGAGCUGAUUUCGUUUUAGUUUCCUCAGUUUGAGAUGAGAACCGCGUGAUUGUAGGGGACGGACGCGGGGCUAGUAGUUAUGUAUUUCUCUUCUCGUGGAUGGAUGGUGGAGGUGGAAUACGGCCAGUCAUUGGAAUUUGCUAAAUCCACACAAUAGAUCUACAGAAACACUAACGUCCACACAUGUGGGUGUUUGCAUCUCGCCUGCACGCGUGCAUCCGCGUCCGUUUAUGGGUGCAUGAAUCUUGGCAUGUUUGUGGUGCCACAUAGGACUGAGCUGGUGUGUGGGCAUUCAUUCGGUCGCCCACACGUCUGUUUCACCACACGGAGGGCCGGUGUGUGGGCGUUUAGCAGUUCGCCCACACACCAGUUUUCACUCACGCACAAGGGCUGGUGUGUGGGCAUUUUGCCAUCUUGCCCACACGCUCGUCUCCUCGCCCACACCCAAACUGCCAGUUGCCAUGCGUUUUGCAGUGUACAUGGCAACUGCCCUAGUGUGCUUGCAAGCAGAUGACAACUCUCUCUUUUUUUUUACCCGAACAUGUCAGUUGCCAUAUGUUUUGCAGGCCACACGUCAACUGCCUCUAGUAUGCUUGUAAGCAGAUGACAACUCACUUUUUACGCGAACAUGUUGUUUUGCCAUGUCUCUUUGUAGCGCUACAUGGCAACUGCUUAGUGUUAGUAGGUGGCAACCUCUAAAGUUUUCAAAUCAUGGCAACUAUAGUAAACCAGACCAUACAUGGCAAUAACUGCAGUUGCCCAAAAUGGCAUCUGGCACUUGACCUGAGAUGGCAACUGUAGUUGAGCAACCAUGGCAACUGUAGUUGUCCGACAUGGCAACUGUAGUUCAGCGACAUGGCAACUGCAGGUAAACGGACAUUGAAGAGGGUCCGGACCAUGGCAACUGCGGGGACGCGUGGUGACUGUCACGCUGGACGUGCGGGACCAUGAGGUAGGUGGCUGAGAGAGGUCGUGUGGGCGUUAUGCAUUUUGCCCACACGUAGGCGUGUGAGAGGGACCGCAAGGAAAAAAGGCGUGUGGGCGCUAGUUGUUUUGCCCACACGUAGGCGUGUGGGCUGGUCCUCUUAACGCCCACUCGUGUGGCAGUUAUCGUCAUCCUAAAUCUAUCUGACAAAUGAUGACUGUUAGAUUGAGACACGUGGGACUAAUUGUGUGGUGAUGAUUGGUUCAUGCGUUUUGUGAAACUAAUUGUUGGGUGCACGUAAAAAAGAUCUUGUUUGAUUGUUUAAUAAUAGUUGAAGUGAUGAAGAUUUUAGAUAGAAGAAAAAUAUCUCUUCUAUCUAAAAUAUUAAGGAAAUGUGGCGUGCCUGCAUGCUGCAAUCGUGAUUUUAUCAGCAAAACUACUUUACGGGCGACAGAUCCUGGCUGAACUUUGACCGAUGGAGAAUUUAACGGCGUUCAGAAAAUUAGUGUGCGUAGGAUUGCCGAAUUUUCAAUGGGAUCAGCCGCGAAGGCUCACAUGCACGUACAAAAAAUCAGAUUUUUUCGACGAGAUUUUCUGAAUAUUUCCGCCUUGUUUUCAUAAAGACCAAAUUAACAUGUACAGACUGUAGAGGUGCGCUGUUUUCCCCUAUGAAAAUGUGCACAUGUAAAAAAAUCCAGAGUUUUUUGACGAGAUUUUCUAAAUAGGAAUAGCAUUUCCGCAUAGACCAAAUUCACAUUUUGACUGUAGAGGCGCGCUGUUCUGUGACCGGCCGCUACCCGAGCCGAGAGCAGUUCAUCAUGGCCUCGGCGCCACUCUCUUUCCAUUGCCCCCUCGACCUCGAGCAGACACCUCUAGCGCGCAUUUCCGCGCCGCUCCUAACCGCACCAGAAUCCACCACCCGACCACAUCGCGCCACUCAUGGGCGUGCGCGCCUGCCCGCGUCCCGGCUACGCUCGCGCCUGUCCAGCGCGUUCGUGCCCUCGACGUGUUCGAGGAAAUGCCCCACCGGAGAAUCUUCGCCGGGUCUACGCUGGGUCCACGCGCGGGUGGUGGCCCUAGCAAGCACAGCCAUCAGCGUCGGCGAUCUCCAUCCCAGCGUCCCGUCGAGUGGUGGAGGAUCGAUGUCGUGGGCUCAUCGUGUUCAUGGCUCUCCCCUGGCGCUGGUGGCUCACCCUCGCUGGUCCGCAGCACGCAGGUAAGAAAAGUCUCUGGGUUUUUUGUACCAUACAUGUUGCUUCCUUGGCCAGAUUACCCAUUCCUGCAGGCCAAGCGGAUGUGCUGUUUGGUCAUCUGCUCUGUUAACUGAACAUACUAUGGUUUUGCUAUGGUUCCUACUGCCUUCAGAAUUUUGGAGACGUACCCUACACAGGAUAGCCGUUUGGGAAUCUCUAGGCGCGCCGCAUUCAAGGAAUCGGACCGUGCAGUUGUUGCCGUGGCUCCGGCUUAGAUAGCUGCGCGUGCUCUAUGUACCAAAAUUUUGUUGACAGGCACAAGCUUGUGUAGAAACCAUCAAGAUUAAGCAUCUCAUUAAUUUGUCGAUGGGUGCAACCGUGCAAGGUUGUGGAAACAAUGGAAGCAUCCCAUUAGAUUGUCGCCAGGUACGAUGUUGAGCAUACUUAUCAGGAACCAUCAACGUCAAAGCAUCUACCGAGGAUUCAAUUUAAGCCUAGAGAUAGCAGGACACAUUGUGAUGUUUUGUCCCCUACUGCUUGUAUCAUUUGUUCAGUAUGCAUAUGCGUCCACAGAUUCCUGUCUGCUACAGGACCACUGCUUAUCCUUUAUUCUCUUCUCUAGGCUCAGCUUCCACGAAAAUAUUUUGUGGUGGUCAUGUAAAAUCAUAAGCUCGUCUUUUCCAUAUGGCUGACAGCUAUGUCAUGUUUAUCAGUAAAGAGGAGUCUAUUUCAGUCAUACAAUACUGUGGAGCCAAGACUUGAAUCAAGGACUUCCAUAGUUCCACGGCCGUGCGGACCCCGCGUCGAGCUUGCCAUGAGGGGCAUGUGUUUCAGUUGAAGGGAUCCUAGUGUUACCUGGUAAAGUUAGCUGCGUUUUGGUGCACUGUUCGACUCUUCUCAUUCGCUGAAUUGCUGCCUGCCUUUUGGUUCACUAUAGCUCUCUCCCCUGAGUCCAUCUGUUUGGUUUCUCCACUGUGCAAGGCCUGUUUUUUCUCCUGCUGUUACUGGGCCGCCUUAGGUGUGCCAGGAGAGAUGUCGGGGUUGCUUGGCACGGUUGUUGAUGCAGCAAUUGGAUGGCUGGUGCAAAGCAUCCUUGACAGCUUCUUUACUGGACGUAUGGAAGCCUGGACUCGUAAAAUCGGGCUUGCUGAAGAUGUGGAGAAGCUCAAAUUUCAGAUGAGGGACGUGCAGAUGGUUCUUGCUGCUGCCGAGGGAAGGAGGAUUGACAAUAUGCCUCUGGCCCUGUCACUGGAUGAUCUCAGAGGGCUGCUUUAUGACUCAGAGGAUGUGAUGGAUGAGCUCGACUACUACCGACUCCAGCAACAGAUCACUGAAGGUGAUUCAUUCGUCUCUCUUGUUCCACGUUUGUUGCUUUCAGCUUAUUUUAUAUUGGUGUGACUGUGAGCGCUGCUUGGAGUAUAGUUUAAUAUGCAACCAUGAACAGCUCAAUAUCAUAGGCAUGAUCCCUCAGAUUAUCUCUUGCUUAACUGUGAUUUUUUAUUCAGUGAUACAACUUUUUGUUAUUUUUCCUAGGCGAAAGGUAGAGCUGUCUUUACCUCAUGGAACUUUUGUUAAUUUUCAGCAGUUAUAUGAUAAUAAUAUUUGCCUUUGCUUAAGUGCUUUUCAUUUGCUUGGCUCAUAGCUGAGUUUUUUCUUAUGCAGGGAAAGUUUGUAGUGCUCCCAGUGGUGCUAAUCCUGAGGGAAGCUAUGUGUUCUUAUCCACUCUAUCUUCUGUUGUUAAAUUAGUAUGCAGCGCCCCAAGCCAUAUAACUGGUUGGAUCUUACGCGGCAGAAAAAGGAAACGUGAAGAGGAGGGGCCAGCUCACUGUAACAUGCUGCCUUUUGAGAUUAAAGAUAGCAUUUCUAAGAGGAUCAAUGUAAUAGUGAUUCUUCUAUGCAGUAACCGCAAUUCUGUGCAGGGGGCUCUUCAGCUUGAGAACUUGCGCCCCAUGGCAACAUCAAGUAAGAGUCUCAAUAUUUCCAGGGGUCAUCGCAUGACAACUUCUGUUCCGAUUGAAUCUGAGGUGUACGGAAGAGAUGCAGAGAGAGACAAAAUAAUAGAGCUGCUGAGGAAUGGAAAAUCUAGUGAUCUGAAUGUUUUGCCAUUAGUUGGCGCCAUUGGUGGUGUUGGGAAGACAACACUUGCCAGAUUUGUAUACCGUGAUCAAAGAAUUAUAGAUCAUUUUGAUCUGCGAAUGUGGGUUUGUGUGUCCACUGACUUCAAUGAAGAGAGGCUAACACGUGAGAUCCUAGAGCAUGUAUGUGAAGAUAGACAAGAGUAUGAAAAUAAAAGCAAUCCUGAUGUACUGCAGAACAUCCUUUUGAAGAAGGUCAGAAACAAAAGAUUUCUGCUUGUACUGGACGAUAUAUGGGAAGACAGAGACAGGAGUGGGUGGAUUAAUUUCCUGGCUCCGUUGAAAAGGAAUCAAGCAACCGGUUGCAUGAUUUUAGCAACAACAAGAAGGAAAUCAGUUGCAAAAAUGAUAGGAACAAUGGUUGAGGUCGAAGUGAAUGGUCUCGAUGAUAAUGUGUUCUGGCUUCUCUUCAGAGCAUGUGCAUUUGGUGAUGAGAACUACGAGGGCCGUCCUAGUUUGCAAUCUAUUGGGAAAGAGAUUGCUAAAGCACUAAAAGGCUGUCCACUGGCUGCACGAAGUGUUGGUGCACUUCUAAACGCAGAUGUUAGCUAUCAGCAUUGGAUGACAGUUCGGGACAAAUGGAAAUCUCUUGAAGAUGCUGAUGAUAUUUUACCCAUCUUGAAGCUCAGUUAUGAUUAUCUUCCAGUCCACCUUCAGCGCUGUUUCUCUUACUGCUCUUUGUUCCCAGAGGACUACCCAUUUGAUGGGGAAGAUUUGGUCCAUGCUUGGAUAUCACAAAAUUUUGUGCAGUACGAAGGCCGUACCAUAAGAUUGGAGAAAACAGGGCAGAGCUAUUUGGAAAGAUUAGUGGACUUGGGCUUCUUCCACAAGGAUGGCUCACACUAUGUUAUGCAUGACCUAAUGCAUGUAUUGGCCAGGAAAGUUUCAUCAAGUGAGUGUGCUACUAUAGAUGGAUUGAAACCUCAGGCCAUUCAACCAAGCGUUCGCCAUUUGUCAGUCAUAAUUACUGAUUUUGGUAAAGAUGAACAAGGCAGUUUUCCUAGUGAGAAGUUUGACCAAAUACUACAGGAAGUUAGGUCGUCUUUGCAAAAAUUGAGAACCUUGAUGGUGUUUGGGCGAAGGACCAUACAUUUGUUAGGUUCAUUACAUACUUUAUGCAAGGAGGCAAAAUGUUUACGGUUACUAAGAAUUCGUGUGCCAGGUGGCGACAUCAAUUAUAUAAACAGUUUAUUGAAUCCAUGCCAUCUUCGCUAUAUAAUGGCAUAUGGAGUCUACCAAAAACCUGCGUUUUGUCAAGUUCUGACAAGGUGCUAUCACCUUCAAGUAUUGAAUGUGGGCAUUUUUACAGGCGAUCGUGAUGUACCUACUGAUAUGAAUAAUCUUGUUAAUCUGCGCCAUCUUAUUGCUCAUGAGAAAGUGCACCACGCAAUAGUUCGUGUCAGCAAAAUGACCUCUCUUCAGGAAUUAAAAUUCAAGGUUCAAAAUGUUGGUAGUUUUGGGAUAGGACAACUUCAGUCCAUGAAUGAGCUUGUAUUACUUGGAAUUUCUCAACUUGAAAAUGUGAAGACUAAAAAAGAGGUGAGGGGGGCCAAGCUGAUAGACAAAGAGUAUCUAGAAACAUUGUCCUUGUCAUGGGAGGAUAGCAGCAUGAGCUUCCAACCUGAGGCUGCCAAGGAUGUGCUUGAAGGUCUUCAACCACAUCAGAACCUCAAAACUCUAGAAAUAACUGGAUAUGGUGGUGCUACAUCCCCAACCUGGUUCUCCAUUGUUUCCUCAGUUACCUCCUUGCAGGUACUUCAUCUAGAGGGGUGCAGGGAAUGGCAAAUUCUAUCAAUUCGUGAAAUGCAUUCCCUUAGGAAGCUGACAUUGAUCAGGAUGUUGAAUUUAAUGGAAAUCUCAGUUCCUUCCUUGGAAGAGUUGAUCUUGAUCGGCAUGCCAAAAUUGAAAAAAUGUACCGGUUCUUAUGGAAUAGAAUUGACUUACCAUUUAAGGGUUUUGAUGAUCAAGAACUGCCGUGAGCUGAAUGAGCUCACUCUUUUCCAGAGUUACUCUUCUUUCGACGCUGAGCAGAAAUCAUGGUUUCCAUCUCUCAGGAAACUCUCCAUUGGGCAGUGUCCCCAUAUAUUAAAGUAAUUUUCUUCUCUCUAAAUUUUCCUUUUCAAUACAUUUGCAAAUUGUUGGGCACUUACUUUGAUAAAUGAUGUUGCAGCAACUGGCCAAUCCUCCCACUAAGUGAAAUGAGGGCGCUCAGUGAGUUGGAGUUGAUGGACCUACAUGUUGUCGGAGUUUCAGUUCCUUCUCUGGAGAAGUUGGUGUUGACUAAAAUGCCAAACCUGGAAUUUUGCAGCAGUCUAACGACCCAAGGAGAUCAAAUGGGAUGGUCAUCCAAUCUGCGUAGACUUACCAUCCAUGAUUGCCCUUGUUUGAUAGUGUCACAUCCUUUUCCGCCUUCUGCUUCGAUUUCCGAGAUGUCCAUCAGGGGAGUUCCGGGACUUGCAAAAAUGAGUAUAGACCAUAGAUGGUUAACUAUCGAAUCUACUGAGUUGAGUGUGCUAGAUGACAGUAUCCUGGCAUUCAGUAACCUUGGGGGCAUAAGAUUGUUUCGAAUAAGAAGCUGUCCAAAUCUGAUCUCUCUUUCAAGUGAAUCUUUCAGCCAGCUCAUCGCUUUAGAAACUUUAUGUAUACACGACUGCCCUAAUCUUACUAUGUCAAACAUUAUGCCAGAGGUUGUCCAGGAAAACAGCACAUCUACAAGCAGCCUUGUCCCCCCAUCUCUCAAAUCUGUCAACAUUAGCACAUGUGGCGUAACUGGGAGGUGGCUAUCUCAACUGCUUUCACAUUCGCAGUCCCUUGAGGAGUUGCUGUUAACUGGCUGUCCGCAGAUAAAGUUUCUAUCAGUCAUUCAACCUAGAGAAACGGAAGGGACCAGCAGUUUGGCUUCAGCAGUGAUGACCUCGGCCCAAGAUGAACAUGAAUUGAAACUGCCAUAUAAUCUCCUAUGUUCUCUCAAGGUGCUAUGGAUUCAGCAAAGCCUGGAUCUGAAGUUCUUUGGGGGUAAUAGACACUCUACAAGAUUCACCUCUCUUACGCAGCUUUUCCUUCAUGGUUGCCCCAAGCUACUCUCAAUUUUGGUGGGUGAAACAAAAGAUGAUGGUACCAUGGAGGUUGGAUUACUCCCACCAUCACUUGAAGACCUUAGUAUCGGUCCUCUCCCAGAAAACUUGCAGUCAUUCACUCCUGAAGGCCUUUUGUACCUCAAAAAGUUACGUCUAUCUUAUGGCCCAUGUUUGAAGUCUGUACAGCUGCAUUCCUGUACGGCCUUAGAGGAGCUGGAUAUCAUGGGGUGUGUCCAGCUGACUGUACUGGAGGGCUUGCAGUUUCUCAGCUCCCUUCGAAGCUUGAAGAUGGAGAUGAAUUCCGAGCUGUCUUGUGCAUGGGAUCUCAAACUGCAGGAACAAGAGCAGGGUGGGAAUCAAAUUCAGCUAUUUCCUCGGUCACUUGAUAAACUUGAGAUCACGGCUGUCACGGACUGGGUCCAAUCCCGUCUUCUGUCCUGCCUUCCUGCCAUGACCAAAUUAGCAGUACAGAGAAGUCCGGAACUGACGUCUCUACAGUUGGCAUGCUGCACGGCACUGAAAGUGUUGGAAAUUGGAGACUGCGACUUGCUUGCGUCGAUCGAGGGCCUCCAGUUCUGUAGAAACCUGACAUCCUUGAAAGUAUUUAACUCCCCCGGCCUAUCUUCCUGUUUUCAACUUUUGUCCGACCAGCAAGGUGUCUGUGAAGUAUGGUCUGGAUUGAAAACUCUUGUGGCUAGUGACGCAUCUAUCCUGUCCAGGCCGUUCUGCAAACAGCUGACUUCCCUAAGACGUCUACAGUUUGGCUCUGCGUAUAGUGCAAGCUUGGUGAACCUAACAGACGAACAAGAGAGAGCAUUACAGCUUCUAACCUCACUCCAAGAACUUCAAUUCCUGAGAUGCCCGAAUCUCUUAUCACUUCCUGCAAGCCUAUAUAGCCUGACCUCCCUCGGAACAUUAUCUAUCGUACAUUGUAGGAGCAUCACAAGGUUGCCAGACAUGGGCUUUGCACCUUCGCUCAGUAACCUUGAGGUAGCCUAUUGCAGUGAGGAGCUAGGUAUGGAGUGCAGAAUUGCAGCAACUGAAAAGCUAAGAGUCACAAUUGAUUAUGUGGAUGUGAAUUAAUUCAACAGUAUCUACUUCUGAGGUACACAUUCGGAACAUUUUUCCUACAGAGUUAGUCUACAUGCUCACCCUCUUCUUGCUAAAUGUAAUUCAUCUCUAUCCAGGCUGCAGCCACCCGAGAUGUUGUACACAUUUCUGCACUCACUGUCACCAGCACAUUUUGUGCAAGUGCCAUUCACCCCUUUGGCUUUCCACAAGCUACUUUAGUCGCAUGUGGGAUGGAUGCAGAAACCAUGGUUGCAAUAGGCUAGUCUUUUUGUUUAUCAGGGGCAUUGUGACCAGUUGCUCAUCGCCAUGAGCUUACGCUAUAGCAAGCCUUACCAUGGUAUGCUUCUUUGUACUUCUAUGUUUAUCCUGAUUAGCUUUGUUAGUGGAUCAGUGCUGUAGACAUGCAAAACUUGGCAUAUUAAUCCUUCUUGGUUACUUUUUGAUUAACAGAUGUACACAUUUGAGUAUGUUUUUCUGCUACCUAAUUACGCAUCCCAUCUUGUCCAAUACUGUUAAUCACCCUUCUGAUCAGCACAUGUCGAUGCUGUUAGCUAGGCUCUUCUGCAUGGUUUGAUACAAAAAAUGUUGUUAACUAGAAACAUCAUUGUGCACUCUCAGACAAUUUAUUAUUGUAUAAUUUCUUCUGUUAAGCAUUAAAUUGGCUCGUACUUCCUAUUUGUAGUUGACUUUCAGCAUGAGGCAUGAUUUAAAAUUGUAGGAGAAACAUAAAGUUUAUUAGUUACCACCAUCUGUCUCAUGAUGCAAUUUCGCUGUGAAAAAAGGAUGAUACUUAGCAAUAGGUUUGUUGCUGAAGUGUUGUUAUUUUGCUCUAGGUUUGCUGUUCAGCAAUAUUACAUCACGGCAUUGGAAUCUGCGGUCAACCAGGACUACCUGUUGAGUGAUGAGUACACAUUAACUUGACGAUUCCAUGGCUCAACCAUUGCAGGUACAUUCUGUUUAUUGUUUGAUUGUCGUCAGGCCUUCAUCGCUAGGCACCUUGUCUGAUUCAUCUGUUGCACCUUAUCUGACAUUCAUGUAUAUUUGCCUGCUUUUAUAUGGUGGGCAUUUGUUUCAGAUUUUGGCCAAGUAAUAUCAUAGUAUCCAAAGAAAGUGAAGUCCAGAAAAGAAGUUUGCUAAUGAAAAAAAACUAUGCCACUGUAGCCAACUGUAUAAAUUUUAUGUUAUGAAUAUGAAAUCACUCCAGGGCUCCUGUUAGCAUCUUCAUCAUCCUAUAAGCAGAAUGAAUUAGGAGCUUGUUUGAUAGCUAUUCACCUUUGCUAGUCUGGAGCCUGCAACAUGCAUAUCUAUUCUAGGUAGGCCUGAAUUUACUGAUGAAUAACUUUGAUGGUGUCAGGUGUGUAUUGGCAGUUGGGCCAUGCCCAUGAAAAACUGAAGAAGGUACAGCAAACCAGUCGGUGACGACCUCCUACGAGACUGGAGGCCGAAGUCAGCCGAGGGGGGCAGCAGCAGAAGCAACUCGUACGGAAUAUAGGACUUCUAUAUAUAAACCUGCCGGGAACUAAACAAGUCAUAACACCAGCACACCGUUUCGUUUCGCUUCCUCCAUCGUCUGCUCAUCUCAUGACCUCCUCUACCGCCUUCUCGCUUCCCAGAAGCGCAGUGGGAGACACUCAACCCGUGUUAUCGACCAAGGUCGGGUCGUUACUGAAUUUGAAGUUGCUGGAGAUGUUCUCGCCGAGCUCGGCGAAGAGGGUCUUCUCGCCGCUCAUGUAGUUUGAGGCACCCCUGUUGAGAUACCAGGCCUCGUAGAAACCAUUAGCUAAGAUGAUAGGAAAAGAAGCCACCCUGUUUGUAUUCUAUAAGGAGGCAACAAAUAUUUCCAAAGCUGAAGUGCUACCAUUUGUGGAACAGAGGGAGACCACACCCGGAUUAAAGAUGGAAAGUAGAAAUACAGUAGAAUGACGACACCACUCAGUAAGAGUUGAAUUUGUACUUUGCUAUGCGACCUUCUGUGCCGAGAUUCCAUUAUCUGCAUUGCAUCUGAUUGGGCACUAGAGGGUAUGGCUUGCAAGUGUAGGUGAUCUGCUCCAAUAACUGUGCCUUGUAGAGACAAAACUUCUAUAUAUGUUUUUUGGUUUAUUAUCUCCAUGCACACUUGAUCAUCGACAGAGCUUAGUCUAACGACCGAAUCUUCGAAAAGAUUGUUGUUUGCAGAACAUGAUAAGAUCAAGGCAAGGACAUCAUUUUUUGGGGGCGAAAUAGUACAAGGGCAUCAACCUAACUAGUACUCACAUUAUCUUGGAUAAUUCAUCCUGGAGCCCGGGCUCAUCUGCACCUGAUAAGCAAAAAAUUAAAAAAAAAUACUAGAAAAAUUCAAAAAAAUCCAAAAUUUUUUCGGGUGGUAGAUAAGUUGAUGCGUGAGGUCCGCUCCAAAAUUAAACCCAUUUGGACAUCUGAGUAGGCCUCGGCAAAAAAGACAAAUCGGGUCAAAACAGUUUGUGAACAGUAAACUUUUUCACAGACCCCGAUUUUGUCUUUUUUGCACAGACUUGCUCAAAUGUCCAAACGAGUUGCAUUUUGCAGCGAACCUCACGCACCUAAUUAUCUACCACCCGAUUCUUUUUUGGAAUUUUUUGAAUUUUUUUUCUAUUUUUUUUCGAUUUUUUCAUUUGGCCCGGGCUCAUCUGAGCCCGGGAGCCAAAUCGCCGCACUCCAUUAUCUUACCCUUCAUUGUAUCUAAUAAUGCGUCGUUGAUACUAUAAAACUCACAUGAUAGACCGUCACCCGAGACAGUUCAACAAAACCGUUAGCAAUUACAUGAUGUGAGACAACACACUCAUGGUUUUUUCUUCUUGAAAGCCUCCUGUAGUAAUUAAGUUACCUAAGAUCAUUUUUGUAAUUUAAACUGACAAGGUUUUAUGCUCUCAAUCGAGAAUCUCCACCACUUCCUAGGGCCGUAAGCCUACUUUUCCCCUCAGAGCAUCUCUAGCAGAUACGGUAAAGCCGUGUCCUGCAAAAUAUGUUUACGAGUGGCCUGUAAUUUUUUUUAUGGUACCGUGAGGCCUCUGAUUGCGGGACGAGUUUACGGGAUCUGUUCCGCGCUCGAGGCCUCGCGGUACCGCAAUUCUUUCACAACAUUCUAAAUUCUAGAUUUUCAACGAUAUGAACCGAAUAGAAUCAUAACAUAAAUUAAACAUAUGAAUAUAAAUGGUUCGAAAGGUAAUUCACAAUACAACAAUGAUCUUCAUUACAACAAAUCUUCAAAUUCAAAUACUUUCUCCGUUUUAUUUACUCCGCGUAUUAGCUUUGGUCACAGUCAAGCUUUAUAAACUUUGACAAAGUUUAUAUACAAAAAUAUUAACAUAUACAAUAACAAAUAAAUACCAUUAGAUUCAUUAUUGGAUGUACUUCCACAUCAUAUAGAUUUGUUAUGAUAAAUAUUUAUAUUCUUUUCUAUAAACUUGGUCAAACUUUAGAAAAUUUGACUUCAGUCAACUCUAAUAUGCGGAGUAAAUAAAAACGGAGGGAAUAAUUAUUACAACACCAAAUUGUUCAAAUCACACACAAAUACAUAUGUAUAAAAAUGGGAAUCUAUCUCCCAUAGAGUUGCCGGUGAUGCUCAAUAAGAUCAUCCCGGAGUUGGUAGUGUGAAGCACUGCUCUCGAUCUUCCGGUAGGUGUCAAGAAAUGCAGUGAUCUCAUCUGCCUCCCUAGUAGGCUUCACAUGGCUACCAACAUUGUCAUAAUAAAACUCCCAGUCCAAAUCCCUCACAUCCUCGAUGAUCAUGUUGUGUAAAGUUACACAAGCAGUCAUGAUGUUUCUAAGGCAUUUCUUAUCUCAGAAGUGAGCGGGACCUCAAACAAUGGCAAAUCGAGCUUGCAACACACCAAAUGCCCUCUCAAUAUCCUUUCAGCAAACUUUUUGUGCACCGCUCACUUCUGGGAUAAGAAAUCACUCAGAAGCAAGAUCGGACCCAUUACAAAGCACCCCUACCAUUGCAAGACCUCAAGCAAUGGAAAACUCAAUCAAUAUGAAUAAACCCCAUUGUUUUAUCCUUAAUGGCAACAAUACAAAUAUGUGUCAUGUCCUCUUCUGUCACUGGGAUUGAGCACCGCAAGAUUGAACCCAUCACAAAGCACCUCUCCCAUUGCAAGACAAAUCAAUCUAGUUGGCCAAACCAAAUCAAUAGAUCAGAGAGAAAUACAAAAAUAUAAUAAUCAUGCAUAUAAGAAUUCAGAAAAGACUUAAAUAAUAUUAAUGAAAAAUCUAAUCAUAAACCCACAAUUCACCGGAUCCCAACAAACACACUGCAAAAGAAGAUUACAUCAAAUAGAACUCCAAGAACAUUGUAUUGAAGAUCAAAGAGAGAGAAAAAGUCAUCUACUCCCUCCGUUCCGAAAUAGAUGACUAAACUUUGUACUAACUUUAGUACAAAGUUGGGUCAUCUAUUUUGGAACGAAGGGAGUAACUAUUAGCUAUGGACCUGUAUGUCUGUGAUAAACUACUCACGCAUCAUCGGAAGGGUAACAAGGAGCCCUCUGUGGUCGAUUCCCCCUCCGGCAGUAUCAGAGAAGGCCUCCAGAUGGGAUCUCGAAGGAACAGAAACUUGCGGCAGCGGAAAAAAUGUUUCGGGUGGCUCUCCGAUGUAUCUGGAAUAUGUGGGAAUUUAUAGAGUUGGAAUUAGGCCAGGAGGUGCCAUGAGGGGCCCACAAGCCUACGGGGCGCCCCCCUGGGGCGCGCCUGGUAGGCUUGUCGCUGCCUCGUGGCACUUUAGGUCUUCUCCGGAAGCUUCUAGGGUCCCUUAUGGUCCAGAAAAAAAUCAUCAAAAAGUUUCGCAGCGUUUGGACUCCGCUUGAUACUGACAUUCUGAAAAGCCAAAAACAAGCAAAAAAUAGCAACUGACACUGGGCACUAGGUUAAUAGGUUAUUCCCAAAAAUGAUAUAUAAUUGCAUAAUAAACAUCCAAGAUUGAUACUAUAAUAGAAUGGAACAAUAAAAAAUUACAGAUACGUUGGAGACGUAUCAAGCUCGAAGGUACUCCAGGCCAAAAAACCGGAUCAUUGUCUUCGCAAAGACCUGGGCGCAUUUGAUGGUGGUACCUUCUCCAAUGCGAAGAUAUUCAUCGGCAUAGUUGGCGGGAACCCCUUAUGCAACCACUCUCAUCGCCGCUGAUAUUUUUUGAUAUGCACUAAACCCAAGCAAACCGGCGAAAUUCCUACGUCGAGUGAAAAACGACAAAUUUGCUCGCAAGCUUCAAUGAUGCGAACGAAAAGAGGCCUACACAUUCGGUAUCGCCUAUGGAAUAGGUGAGCCGGAUAUGUCCACAAGAUGCAACAACACUAGGCUGUUGAAUCUAGGAUAAUCUUUUCUAUGUCCGAAUCAUCCGACGACGGCGAACUCCAAUCCAUCUAAAAAAAUGCACGCCCGUGAAUUUCUCCCGGAUCUCAUUGGUCGAAAUUGAAUCAAAAUAGUUGGCGGGCAUUGAACAUACCUUCCCUCGAGGCAAAGUCGCCCGCCCCUUUCUUCUCCCCUAUCGGCCAAAGCAAAGCCGGCCGCCUCUUUCUUCUUCCCCUCCGGCCGAAGCAAAGCCGGCCGAAACCCCUUCCUCCGGCGCGUGCUGCUACCCCUCGAGCGAUUCCGUGGCUCACCGGCACCGGAAACAACUGGAAUCUGUCGGCUACAAGACCGCGCGCCAAGCUCCAGGGCGGAUCCAUGGCGCCGGCGGCGGCCACUAGCCCGCGGAAACAAAUGGGCACACUCGGCCUCCAAAUCUGGUGGAAUAGAUGCGACGCGGCGGAGCUAAUGGACGACGCGGGGCAGCUGGGGGCACCAGGAACUGGCGGGGAUAUGCGGCGGUGGCGAGUGAGGCAAAAAUGGCCUUCGUGCAAGGAUACAGGAAACUACAAAAAGAGGGGCGACUCUCGUAGAUAUGACGGAAAUGGCCCAUACUUUGCAUGAUCCCGAAAAAAAUACGGGAUGGCCGAUUCUGUGGGAUCUAUCUGGGGCCGAGAAAACGGCCUCAUCCGCUAAAUCAAUGGUUAUUAUUCUGGUUGGCCCAUUUUACGGGAUCUGCUAAAGAUGUUGUUAGAUGUCCUCAUCGUCGUCCAUCAUUGGUGCAUCACCGAAAAAAAAACUCCAGCCCAUGUUCAGUCACGACAGCCUCGGCCCUCGGCGCCGCUGCCUUCUCGUCCCCGGAGUCAGACUCCCUUCGCGCGCUUCCCCGCCUUUCCACCCGCCCGCCAUCGCGCCACUCAUGCCGCAAGCGGCGUGCUGAAGAGCGCGCGCCUCACCGCAUCCUGCCCACGCUGGCGCCGCGCGCCCGUUCGGUGCGUCUGCGCCCUUGAUGUGUUCGGGCCUGGUAGGCUUGUCGCUGCCUCGUGGCACUUCAGGUCUUCUCCCGAAGCUUGUAGGGUCCCUUAUGGUCCAGAAAAAAAUCAUCAAAAAGUUUCGCAGCGUUUGGACUCCGCUUGAUACUGAUAUUCUGAAAAGCCAAAAACAAGCAAAAAAAUAGCAACUGACACUGGGCACUAGGUUAAUAGGUUAGUCCCAAAAAUGAUAUAUAAUUGCAUAAUAAACAUCCAAGAUUGAUACUAUAAUACAAUGGAACAAUAAAAAAUUACAAAUACGUUGGAGACGUAUCAAGCUCGAAGGUACUCCGGGCCAAAAAACCGGAUCAUUGUCUUCGCAAAGACCUGGGCGCAUUUGAUGGUGGUACCUUCUCCAAUGCGAAGAUAUUCAUCGGCAUAGUUGGCGGGAACCCCUUAUGCAACCACUCUCAUCGCCGCUUAUAUUUUUUGAUAUGCACUAAACCCAAGCAAACCGGCGAAAUUCCUACAUCGAGUGAAAAACGACAAAUUUGCUCGCAAGCUUCAAUGAUGCGAACGAAAAGAGGCCUACACAUUCGGUAUCGCCUACGGAAUAGGUGAGCCGGAUAUGUCCACAAGAUGCAACAACACUAGGCUGUUGAAUCUAGGAUAAUCUUUUCUAUGUCCGAAUCAUCCGACGACGACGAACUCCAAUCCAUCUAAAAAAAUGCACGCCCGUGAAUUUCUCCCGGAUCUCAUUGGUCGAAAUUGAAUCAAAAUAGUUGGCGGGCAUUGAACAUACCUUCCCUCGAGGCAAAGUCGCCCGCCCCUUUCUUCUCCCCUAUCGGCCAAAACAAAGCCGGCCGCCUCUUUCUUCUUCCCCUCCGGCCGAAGCAAAGCCGGCCGAAACCCCUUCCUCCGGCGCGUGCUGCUACCCCUCGAGCGAUUCCGUGGCUCACCGGCACCGGAAACAACUGGAAUCUGUCGGCUACAAGACCGCGCGCCAAGCUCCAGGGCGGAUCCAUGGCGCCGGCGGCGGCCACUAGCCCGCGGAAACAAAUGGGCACACUCGGCCUCCAAAUCUGGUGGAAUAGAUGCGACGCGGCGGAGCUAAUGGACGAUGCGGGGCAGCUGGGGGCACCAGGAACUGGCGGGGAUAUGCGGCGGUGGCGAGUGAGGCGAAAAUGGCCUUCGUGCAAGGAUACUGGAAACUACAAAAAGAGGGGCGACUCUCGUAGAUAUGACGGAAAUGGCCCAUACUUUGCAUGAUCCCGAAAAAAAUACGGGAUGGCCGAUUCUGUAGGAUCUAUCUGGGGCCGAGAAAACGGCCUCAUCCGCUAAAUCAAUGGUUAUUAUUCUGGUUGGCCCAUUUUACGGGAUCUGCUAAAGAUGCUGUUAGAUGUCCUCAUCGUCGUCCAUCAUUGGUGCAUCACCGAAAAAAAAAA
This 26253-nucleotide long non-coding RNA is filed under the name Triticum aestivum (bread wheat). RNAcentral's name for it is "long non-coding RNA (TAES_LNC024654)". Lineage: Eukaryota; Viridiplantae; Streptophyta; Magnoliopsida; Poales; Poaceae. The record is from RNAcentral.